This 116-nucleotide ribosomal RNA is filed under the name Pteropus alecto (black flying fox). Lineage: Eukaryota; Metazoa; Chordata; Mammalia; Chiroptera; Pteropodidae. The record is from RNAcentral.
GUCUAUGGCCAUGCCACCCUGAACAAGCCCAAUGUCUGAUCUCAGAAGCUAAGUAGGGUCAGGCCUGGUUAGUACUUGGAUGGGAGACCACCUAGGAAGACCAGGUGCUGUAGGCA